RNAcentral lists this ribosomal RNA (730 nucleotides) under uncultured bacterium. RNAcentral's name for it is "bacterial SSU rRNA". It matches the Rfam family "Bacterial small subunit ribosomal RNA", at positions 771 to 1501 of the family's 1533-position model. The record is from RNAcentral.
AACAGGAUUAGAUACCCUGGUAGUCCACGCCGUAAACGAUGUCGACUUGGAGGUUGUUCCCUUGAGGAGUGGCUUCCGGAGCUAACGCGUUAAGUCGACCGCCUGGGGAGUACGGCCGCAAGGUUAAAACUCAAAUGAAUUGACGGGGGCCCGCACAAGCGGUGGAGCAUGUGGUUUAAUUCGAUGCAACGCGAAGAACCUUACCUGGCCUUGACAUCCACGGAAUUCUGCAGAGAUGCGGAAGUGCCUCCGGGAACCGUGAGACAGGUGCUGCAUGGCUGUCGUCAGCUCGUGUUGUGAAAUGUUGGGUUAAGUCCCGCAACGAGCGCAACCCUUAUCCUUUGUUGCCAGCGGUUCGGCCGGGAACUCAAAGGAGACUGCCGGUGAUAAACCGGAGGAAGGUGGGGAUGACGUCAAGUCAUCAUGGCCCUUACGGCCAGGGCUACACACGUGCUACAAUGGCGCAUACAAAGAGAAGCGACCUCGCGAGAGCAAGCGGACCUCAUAAAGUGCGUCGUAGUCCGGAUCGGAGUCUGCAACUCGACUCCGUGAAGUCGGAAUCGCUAGUAAUCGUGGAUCAGAAUGCCACGGUGAAUACGUUCCCGGGCCUUGUACACACCGCCCGUCACACCAUGGGAGUGGGUUGCAAAAGAAGUAGGUAGCUUAACCUUCGGGAGGGCGCUUACCACUUUGUGAUUCAUGACUGGGGUGAAGUCGUAACAAGGUAACC